RNAcentral lists this ribosomal RNA (509 nucleotides) under uncultured bacterium. Its description in RNAcentral is "bacterial SSU rRNA". It matches the Rfam family "Bacterial small subunit ribosomal RNA", at positions 24 to 518 of the family's 1533-position model. The record is from RNAcentral.
UCAGGAUAAACGCUGGCGGCGUGCUUAACACAUGCAAGUCGAACGGAGUAAUCCUCCCGAAGACCUGACGAGCUUGCUCAGAUGGAAUUCAUUGGAUACUUAGUGGCGGACGGGUGAGUAACGCGUGGGUAACCUGCCCUAUACUGGGGGAUAGCAGUUGGAAACGACUGAUAAUACCGCAUAAGCGCACAGGACCGCAUGGUCUAGUGUGAAAAACUCCGGUGGUAUAGGAUGGACCCGCGUCUGAUUAGCUAGUUGGCGAGGUAACGGCCCACCAAGGCGACGAUCAGUAGCCGGCCUGAGAGGGUGUACGGCCACAUUGGGACUGAGACACGGCCCAAACUCCUACGGGAGGCAGCAGUGGGGAAUAUUGGACAAUGGGGGAAACCCUGAUCCAGCGAACCGCCGCGUGAGCGAUGAAGUAUUUCGGUAUGUAAAGCUCUAUCAGCAGGGAAGAUAAUGACGGUACCUGACUAAGAAGCACCGGCUAAAUACGUGCCAGCCGCAGC